AAGGAUCAUUGUCGAAACCUGCAUAGCAGAACGACCCGCGAACACGUUACAAUACCGGGUGAGGGACGAGGGGUGCGCAAGCUCCCCAAGUUGCAAACUCAUGGUCGGGGACCACCCUUGGGUGGAUCUCGUCCGAACAACGACCCCCCGGCGCGGAAUGCGCCAAGGAAAUCAAACUGAACUGCACGCGUCCCCCCCGUUUGCGGGCGGCGGAAGCGUCUUUCUAAAACACAAACGACUCUCGGCAACGGAUAUCUCGGCUCUC
This 265-nucleotide unclassified non-coding RNA is filed under the name uncultured fungus. RNAcentral describes it as "partial contains 18S rRNA, ITS1, 5.8S rRNA, ITS2 and 28S rRNA". The record is from RNAcentral. Lineage: Eukaryota; Fungi.